UAAUGACACAGGCUCAUUUUACGUGGU
RNAcentral lists this non-coding RNA (27 nucleotides) under Mus musculus (house mouse). The record is from RNAcentral. Lineage: Eukaryota; Metazoa; Chordata; Mammalia; Rodentia; Muridae.